RNAcentral lists this long non-coding RNA (4484 nucleotides) under Sus scrofa (pig). RNAcentral describes it as "lncRNA (ENSSSCG00045022157.1)". The record is from RNAcentral. Lineage: Eukaryota; Metazoa; Chordata; Mammalia; Artiodactyla; Suidae.
GGGGGUCUGUGUCAUUUCUUCACUUUAAGCUGUAUCUCUUUUCUCCUUUUCAUCUUGGUUACUUCCUCAUGUAUCCGCGUUCUUUUUUCACCAGAGCAACCAGAAGGGGGUUGUACCAAGAUGGGUUUAUUUUGAGCUCAAUCCCAACUUUUAACAAGGAACAUUCUUUUUCUAAUUAUAUAUGAAACAUUUUUCUCUGAAGAUUCUUAAAAAUUAAAUGUGGAUAAGUGGAGCAUGGGAAGCUUAUUGCUAACUUAGAGAAAGGAAACAUAGUGAAGUAUAAAGAAUUAAUUCCUAACUUAAUCAUUGGAAUUCUUUUGCAGCAUUUGACAAAACUAACAUUGAAUAAAACUCAUUGCAAUAUAUGACCCUCUUGGACAUUUAUGGAUAGAAGAUUAGAAGCUACCGACUCUAGCUAUAAUCCUAAUAAAUAUGAAAAUGUAGAAUUGAAAGGCUACAUAAUGUAGCUUCUCAGGCUAUCUGUAAUCCAUAGUAAGAAGACAAGGGGAGCAGGCCUUUAUCUUCCUCUGUGUCCUACAAAGUAAUAUGUGGGUGGCUAGCAAAUACUUGUUGGAUUACCAGGGGUUGUCUUUACUGUAGAGGCAAAGGAUUAAGACCUAGGGAAAGAGGCUUAUUUUCUCUGGGACGCAUAUUUCCUGUUACAUUAUUAAGACUUUGAGAAUUUAUGUAAAAUGUUUUCUCUCUGUCCAGUCUUUAAAAAUAUAUAGCUGCCUCUGGUGAUGUUCAUGUCUCAAUUUUGUUGAAUUAGGUCUUGGGUAUGAAAACUUCCUUGGGCUAGUGAGACCAGGAUAUCUGAUGCCAUUUAAAACUUGCUUUGUGUCUGACAGUUGUAGUUUUAAGACUAGAAGGAUAAAGCACAGAGCCAAAAAGCUAUUAGAGUUUGCUUUACUAAGAGUUUUGGUAGCUCUGCUUGAGGUAGUUUUUUAUUGAUGUAGAAAAACCUGGCCACUGAUAAACAGCCUUUAUUUCUGUUGUGUUCUUUAUUAUCCGUUGGCAUUGAGCUAUGUACAAACCUUACUUUUCUCUCCUCUCCCUGGAUUGGUCCAUUCGUCUUAUCUCAUUCAGUGUUUACUCUGCAUCUUCCAUAUGCCAGGCAUUGUUGUGGAUGUCAGGUUUAGAUUAGAGCAUGAAACAUAUGGACCCUUUCUCAUAAAGAUUGUAAUCCAUGAGAAUUCUAUGCAGCUGAGGUCUGUGAUUAUUUAAAAACAUUUCUCUGCCCUUAACUAAAACGAGGUGUUAAAAAGAAUAAUCUGUAAAGUCCCCGUAUUGCUUAUUUCUUGACACUGACUUAUUAAUGCUUUUGAAGCCUCUUGGUAUCUCUUAAUACUAACUUUAGGAAUUCUGUGGAUUUUGUCAAGACCUGCCCAUUUAUUUCCCGAUCCUUUAGAGCCUGAGGUGUUUUUCUCCUGGUGGUGGUUAUAGAUGAGGCUCAACCACUCUUCUGUCUCAAUGAGACUUUUUAGUGAAGAUGUUUGUGAAAUAGCUGUAAUAAGCCUUGCUGUGACAUACUAACUGACAGCUCAGAGCUGUGACCUCACUUGGCCAGUUGUUCUUUUCUUGCUAAAUUAUUCUAGAUCAUUACUUUUCAUUUUGUCUAUCUUUAUUUUUUGCUUUUUACAGCUACACCUGUGGCAUAUGGACAUACCCGAGCCAGGGGUUGAAUCAGAGCUGCAGCUGCAGCCUACACCCACAGCCAUGGCAACACCAGAUCCGAGCCACAUCUGCAAUCUAUGCCAUUGCUUGCAAUAACACCAGAUCCCUAACCCACUGAGCAAGGUCAGGGAUCGAACCUGCAUCCUCACAUAGACAACGCUGGGUCCUUAAUCAGCUGAGCCACAACGGGAACUCCAAUUUGUGUAUCUUGUCUGAAUUAUAGGAUAGUAAAAUUCAUCUUGCUCUUUUCGUAGAGUUAUAAGUACUUGGACCUAGCUUUAUCGAUCUGAGCAAGGAUGUAAGAAUCACCUGAUGUAUACAUGUAAGGAUAACUUGAUUCCCUUGCUGUACAGUGGGAAAAAGAAAAAAAAAAAAUUACCUGGGAAGCUUAUUAAAAAUGCGGACUCCCUUGCAUUUCCAAAAAUUGCUUCAAAGCAUGAGACACAGGAAUCCAAAAUCUUGUUAAGUAACCUAGGUUACCGUGAUGGCUGUGGUCAGUUAAUUGCAACUUGAGACACUGAUCUAAGACUUUCGUUUAAGAUUUCAGCCUCAAACCAGUCAUCAGGGAUGACUGGCUUCAGCUCCACUGGCAGUAAUACUGGUUUUAUGAUGGGUGUGGUGAUAAGCACAGUAGAGUUCAUAGAGGAAACAAUGUUUAUCUCAAAGGAAUGCAUUUCUUACUAUGGAAUUUGAGAUAAUAGUGACCGUCUGAGAAUGUAGCAUGUACAUAGGAGGAGCUUCUUUUGCAAAUCAUGUCAUGUAGAUAAGGCUCAGGACUUCCCGUUAUGGCUUAGUGGAAAGGAAUCUGACUAGUAACCAUGAGGAUGCAGGUUCGAUCCCUGGCCUCACUCAGUGGGUUAAGGAUCCGACGCUGCCAUGAGCUGUGGUGUAGGUCACGGAAGCAGCCCAGAUCUGGCAUUGCUGUGACUGUGUAGGCCGGCAGCUACAGCUCCAAUUCAUCCACUAGCCUGGGAACCUCUAUAUGCUGUGGGUGCAGCCCUAGAAAAAAAGAUAAGACCCAAGCUAAUGAGGCGAACUAGCUUUUGGUAUGGGGCCCUCUAGGACAUAGAGAAUUCCCUAAACCUGAUGGCUUUGAAGCGUUACUUCUGGCUACAAAGGGUACCUCAAUUGGGAAACAAGUGGUCCUAUUGGCUAAAGCCAAGGAGGGAUGUCUGAAAACUGAAAUCACUCCUGAGAGACAGCCUAUCUCAAGAAAGCACACAAAUACAAAAACAAACAUUGUAGAAAUGAAUUUUUUUUUUCUUAUAACCUUGUGACCUUUUGACUUUCCCAUUGCCUGUGUCACUUAAAGCAUUAGUUCCUCAACUGAUCCAGCCAGAAUUCAAGGGCAGACAUGGAGAGGAAGCUGAAGGAAGAGAGGUAGGGAAAGCAUCAAUAAAAAUAAUCACUUUGGCCUGUCUGCAUUAUUAUAUUCUGACUUAUUAUUUUUUAAUGUAGUAGGAAAUGACCAGUGCCAGCUAUACAAGAAUGAAUUGAGUCAAGAGCUUUAUAGUUGUUAGUGUAACUGUAGGAGCCAUAAGUAUUAUUGUAAGCGUGUAGCAACUAGCUAUUUUGUUUUAUUUUUAGCUGAGGAAAAAGUGCUAUGUUCACCAUAUGCAUUUCUGUCUUCAGUGUUGAAAAGGACAGGUUCUUCCACUUGUAUUGAGGAUAUAGAAAGGAUUAUGAUCUAUCUUUCCCCAGUAUCUAAUGGCCAAAUAGUCUGAAAGACAUGAGGCUUUUGUGUGUGAGGAAAAGGAAAAAAUGUCAGAUACCCAUGGCAAUAUUUCAGGCAUUCACUCUGCUCUUGUCUUCAAUCCUUUUUCCUUCCAUCUUUUUUUUUUUUUUUGCCUUGCCUGCAGCAUGCGGUAAUCCUGGGGUCAGGGAUUGAACUUGCACCGCAGCAGUGACCCAAGCCUCAGCAGUGACUCUGCAGAGCCACCAGGGAACUUCUUUUAUGCUGUCUUUAUAAGGCAAAAUUAGCAAUGGUGUUUUGCAAACUUUGGACUCUGGGCCUCUACAACCCAUUCUGUUGUCAGGAACAAGAGUAUGAGGAGUGUAGUAUGUAUAGCUGGAAUUAAUUCCAGCUUCUGUUUUUGGCAUUGUGGUGGAUUAGAUACUCUGAAUGGUACUUUCAGCAGAAACAAGAUCCUUGGUAAAAUGUAUUUAUUAAAAAAAUAGUAAUUCUGUCGUGGCUCAGUGGUAACGAACCCACCUAGGACCCGUGAGGAUUCAGGGUCAAUCUUGACCUCGCUCAGUAGGUUAAGGAUCCGACAUUGCCGUGAGCCGUGGUGUAGGUCACAGACAUGGCUCGGAUCCCGCAUUUCUAUGGCUGUGGCGUAGGUCAGCAGCUGCAGCUCUGAUUUGACCCCUAGCCUUAGAACUUACAAUUGCCAUGGUGUGGCCCUAAAAAGACCAAAAAAACCCCAAAACCAAACAAAACAUUAUAAGCACAUUACUGAACAAGCACAAAAGUAAGGAAAGAAUCCAUAGAUAUUCAAAAUGAAGUGAAAAUUAGAAUCCUACGAAAUAGGCAACUGCCAGAGCUAGCUUUUACUCAGUUUUUGCCAAACUCAGCAGGCUUUCAGCAUUUAGUUUAAUGACUGCUGGGUAUGGGAAAGGAACUGAAGGAUCUAGAAGGUGACUCUAAGUAAAGCUGGGAUCCCCUCAGUGUAAAGUUGAACAAGAAAUAAACUUGUUCUCUUGCGGCACCAUGGGUUAAGGAUCCAGCAAAAUCAUUGCAGUGGCCUGGGUUACUGCUGUGGUGAGGGUUUAGUCCCUGGCCCAGGAACUUGCAUAUGUGAAGGGUGUAC